This 346-nucleotide ribosomal RNA is filed under the name uncultured bacterium. RNAcentral describes it as "partial 16S ribosomal RNA". It matches the Rfam family "Bacterial small subunit ribosomal RNA", at positions 338 to 676 of the family's 1533-position model. The record is from RNAcentral.
CCUACGGGUGGCAGCAGUGGGGAAUAUUGCGCAAUGGGCGAAAGCCUGACGCAGCGACGCCGCGUGAGGGAUGAAGGUCUUCGGAUCGUAAACCUCUGUCAGCAGGGAAGAACGGUCACGGGGCUAAGCAGCAGUGAAUUGACGAUACCGGCAAAGGAAGCACCGGCUAACUCCGUGCCAGCAGCCGCGGUAAGACGGAGGGUGCGAGCGUUAAUCGGAAUUACUGGGCGUAAAGCGCUCGUAGGCGGUAUGUCAAGUCAAGGGUGAACUCCCCGCGCUCCACGUGGGAACUGCCUUUGAAACUGGCAAACUGGAGUGUGUGCGAGGAUAGUGGCAUUCCAGGUGU